UAUCUCUGUAGAGUCUGCAUAUCAAUAAGCGGAGGAAAAGAAACUAACAAGGAUUCCCCUAGUAACGGCGAGUGAAGCGGGAAGAGCUCAAAUUUGAAAUCUUCAAGGUUUGACCUUGACGAAUUGUAGUUUAAAGAAGUGUUUUCGGUUAGAGGAGUAGUAAAAGUUCUUUGGAAUAGGACAUCAUAGAGGGUGAGAAUCCCGUAUUUGACUAUUCUUUCUAGCUUUGUGAUACACUUUCAAAGAGUCGGAUUGUUUGGGAAUGCAGUCCAAAGUGGGUGGUAAAUUUCAUCUAAAGCUAAAUAUUGGCGAGAGACCGAUAGCGAACAAGUACCGUGAGGGAAAGAUGAAAAGAACUUUGAAAAGAGAGUUAAACAGUACGUGAAAUUGUCAAAAGGGAAGCGUUUGACACCAGUGUUAUUUUUCCGAAAAUCAAUUAAAAAUUGAUUCAUGCCAGGUUGUAUUGACCUUAUCAGCUUGCAAUUUGGUUUUGGGUCUCUUUUUGAUGCACUUUUCGGUUAACAAGUCAACAUCAAUUUCCUUUGCUGUAAAAAGGUAAGAGGAAGGUGGCUUCAAUUUCGGUUGAAGUGUUUAUAGCCUUUUAUCUCUGCAGUCGGGGAGAUUGAGGUCUGCAGCGUAGAUCCUUCGGGGCUAGAUACAUUUAUGCUAAGUUAUAGCUUUUCAUAGACAACUUGUUGACUAUGUUUAGUCAUGUAGCUUACUCGUAAGUGCUAUUUUACCUACGCUUAGGAUGUUGAAGACUCUACAGAGAUA
RNAcentral lists this ribosomal RNA (774 nucleotides) under uncultured Neocallimastigales. RNAcentral's name for it is "partial large subunit ribosomal RNA". It matches the Rfam family "Eukaryotic large subunit ribosomal RNA", at positions 24 to 642 of the family's 3401-position model. The record is from RNAcentral. Lineage: Eukaryota; Fungi; Neocallimastigomycota; Neocallimastigomycetes; Neocallimastigales.